UAGAGUGAAGCUCACUGGAUUGAGUGUUUGGCUGUUAACUAAAAUCUUGCGGGAUCGAGGCCCGUCACUCUAG
This 73-nucleotide transfer RNA is filed under the name Amolops larutensis (Larut sucker frog). RNAcentral describes it as "tRNA-Asn". The record is from RNAcentral. Lineage: Eukaryota; Metazoa; Chordata; Amphibia; Anura; Ranidae.